CAGACCCCUCACAGGUCCUCAACUGGCAGCUUCAUUAAAUAGCAGCCACAACACACCAGUAUCAACAAGGAAGGGGUGAAAAUCUGCCGUUUCCAGGAGAACAUUGAGGGAAACAUCAGACAUGUUUCAUCAGACAUGUCAUAACAGGAUGCACCAGGGAUGGAUCCAGCUGAUUACUGGCAAUUUGAAAGAGGCCUGCAGAGGACUUUAUCUGCUAUGUGUCACUGUCACUUCUGGUUCAGUGUGAUAGUGAAACAUAGCAGAUAGCUUUAGACUGUUCAUGGUUGCCACAUAUAAAAGAAGACCUACAGUGGGGAGAACAAGUAUUUGAUACACUGCCAAUUUUGCAGGUUUUCUCACUUACAAAGCAUGUAGAAGUCUGUAAUUUUAAAUAGGUACUCUUCAACUGUGAGUGACGGUAUCUAUGAAAAAAAAUCCAGAAAAUGACAUUGUAUGAUUUUUUAAGUAAUUAAUUUGCAUUUUAUUGCAUGACAUUAGUAUUUGAUACAUCAGAAAAGUAGAAUUGAAUAUUUGGUACAGAAACCUUUGUUUGCAAUUACAGAGAUCAUACGUUUCCUGUAGUUCUUGACCAGGUUUGCACACACUGCAGCAGGGAUUUUGGCCCACUCCUCCAUACAGACCUUUUCCAGAUCCUUCAGGUUACGGGGCUGUCGCUGGGCAAUACGGACUCAGCUCCCUAUUGGGUUCAGGCCUGGAGACUGGCUAGGCCACUCCAGGACCUUGAGAUGCUUCUUACGGAGCCACUCCUUAGUUGCCCUGGCUGUGUGUUUCGGGUCGUUGUCAUGCUGGAAGACCCAGCCACGACCCAUCUUCAAUGCUCUUACUGGGGGAAGGAGGUUGUUGGCCAAGAUCUCGUGAUACAUGGCCCCAUCCAUCCUCCCCUCAGUACGGUGCUGUCGUCCUGUCCCCUUUGCAGAAAAGCAUCCCCAAAGAAUGAUGUUUCCACCUCCAUGCUUCAUCGUUGGGAUGGUGUUCUUGGGGUUGUACUUAUCCUUCUUCUUCCUCCAAACACGGUGAGAGGAAUUUCAACCAAAAAGCUCUAUUUUUGUCUCUUCGGACAACAUGACCUUCUCCCAUUCCUCAUCUAGAUCAUCCAGAUGGUCAUUGGCACACUUCAGACGGGCCUGGACAUGCGCUGGCUUGAGCAGGGGGACCUUGAGUGCGCUGCAGGAUUUUAAUCCAUGACAGCGUAGUGUGUUACUUAUGGUUUUCUUUGAGACUGUGGUCCCAGCUCUCUUCAGGUCAUUGACCAGAUCAUGCCGUGUAGUUCUUGGCUGAUCCCUCACCUUCCUCAUGAUCAUUGAUGCCCCACCAGGUGAGAUCUUGCAUGGAGCCCCAGACCUAGGGAGAUUGACAAUCAUCUUGAACUUCUUCCAUUUUCUAAUAAUUGCGCCAACAGUUGUUGCCUUCUCACAAAGCUGCUUGCCUAUUGUCGGAAUUCUUACUGGUUGGUAGGUGAUCAAAUACUUAUGUCAUGCAAUAAAAUGCACAUUUAUUAUUUAAAAAUCAUAAAAUGUGAUUUUCUGGAUUUUUUUCUCUCACAGUUGAAGUGUACCUAUGAUACGAAUUACAGACCUCUACAUGCUUUGUAAGUAGGAAAACCUGCAAAAUCGGUAUGCCCUGUUCUUAGAAUCGAUUAGGGCCACAACCAAGGCGCCUUAUCAAUGACCCUGUUCAGUUGACACCAAGGAAAAUCUGCCUGUGUCUACACUGUAUUCUUCCUUUCGUGUAGGGGUAGUUCAGAUCAGGAGGUCUGGUAACUAUGACCUAGAACUGUGGUUGCCAUGGCAGUAUAGGGUUCUGUCUUGUUUUCCUAUUUAUUAUGACGACUUGUUUUGUAUGUAUCUUAUAGCAUUAGAGAUAAUAUUUUUGGGGCUGACAGGAGGAGUAUAAAGAGCUAGAAGCCAUAAUAUGUAAUCAGAACAAUUGUUAUGACACUACUCUGUUGGUCUCUAUACUUAUACUCUGUUUUGUGGAAGCAAUUGUUCCCGUGGAUCCACGGGAUCCAAUAAUCAACCGUUAUACCAGACUCUGAGAAGUUUUUACUUGUAUAAAUCGCGAAAAUUUUCCACAUAACCUAAAUUUAAAGAGACGUUUAAAUAUAGCUAUAGUUCAUAUAUUUUGACAUACAAUGCUUAGAUUUCCAUUGUCCAAUAAAUGUUUUAACAUUACCAUUCUCUAAAAUGACUAACUAAUACUGUAAAUGUGCAGAAAUUCCUUUUUAAUUAAAAGUACAUACACUCACCUAAAGGAUUAUUAAUUAAUUUCUCAUUAAUGCAAUUAUCUAAUCAACCAAUCACAUGGCAGUUGCUUCAAUGCAUUUAGGGGUGUGGUCCUG
Molecule: long non-coding RNA, 2359 nt
Organism: Esox lucius (northern pike)
Lineage: Eukaryota; Metazoa; Chordata; Actinopteri; Esociformes; Esocidae
Source: Ensembl